AACUCCAUGGUGACCUCCCUCGCCCUGGCCUCGUCCCAUAAAUAGCGCGCGCAGGACCUCUGGCGAGUCAGUGCAAGUUAGGAAAUCUAAGCAUUACAAUGAGGCAAAUCAUCUUCCUUUUCUUUGCGUUGGCUCUGGUCGUGCUGAUGGCGGAAUCGAAGCUUAUUAAUCCCGAGGAAGUCUUAACAAGACUGCGCAGAGACUGCUUUUGUGUCACCCUCCCCUGCCCCUGCCCCUUCUCGGACCCCUAUCGCGGACCCCAGAUCCUCACAUAGCCUGAGGUCCUCACAGCACCCUGGCCUAGAACCGAGCCAGCAAAUCAGUAGGUUUCUCACCACGACUGAAGAAGG
RNAcentral lists this long non-coding RNA (350 nucleotides) under Penaeus monodon (black tiger shrimp). RNAcentral's name for it is "uncharacterized LOC119588009". Lineage: Eukaryota; Metazoa; Arthropoda; Malacostraca; Decapoda; Penaeidae. The record is from RNAcentral.